UUGAUUUGAAAGGCGCUUUCGGGUGUCGCUGAUGGAUGGACCCGCGGUGCAUUAGCUAGUUGGUGAGGUAACGGCUCACCAAGGCCACGAUGCAUAGCCGACCUGAGAGGGUGAUCGGCCACAUUGGGACUGAGACACGGCCCAAACUCCUACGGGAGGCAGCAGUAGGGAAUCUUCGGCAAUGGACGAAAGUCUGACCGAGCAACGCCGCGUGAGUGAAGAAGGUUUUCGGAUCGUAAAACUCUGUUGUUAGAGAAGAACAAGGAUGAGAGUAACUGUUCAUCCCUUGACGGUAUCUAACCAGAAAGCCACGGCUAACUACGUGCCAGCAGCCGCGGUAAUACGUAGGUGGCAAGCGUUGUCCGGAUUUAUUGGGCGUAAAGCGAGCGCAGGCGGUUUCUUAAGUCUGAUGUGAAAGCCCCCGGCUCAACCGGGGAGGGUCAUUGGAAACUGGGAGACUUGAGUGCAGAAGAGGAGAGUGGAAUUCCAUGUGUAGCGGUGAAAUGCGUAGAUAUAUGGAGGAACACCAGUGGCGAAGGCGGCUCUCUGGUCUGUAACUGACGCUGAGGCUCGAAAGCGUGGGGAGCAAACAGGAUUAGAUACCCUGGUAGUCCACGCCGUAAACGAUGAGUGCUAAGUGUUGGAGGGUUUCCGCCCUUCAGUGCUGCAGCUAACGCAUUAAGCACUCCGCCUGGGGAGUACGACCGCAAGGUUGAAACUCAAAGGAAUUGACGGGGGCCCGCACAAGCGGUGGAGCAUGUGGUUUAAUUCGAAGCAACGCGAAGAACCUUACCAGGUCUUGACAUCCUUUGACCACUCUAGAGAUAGAGCUUCCCCUUCGGGGGCAAAGUGACAGGUGGUGCAUGGUUGUCGUCAGCUCGUGUCGUGAGAUGUUGGGUUAAGUCCCGCAACGAGCGCAACCCUUAUUGUUAGUUGCCAUCAUUCAGUUGGGCACUCUAGCAAGACUGCCGGUGACAAACCGGAGGAAGGUGGGGAUGACGUCAAAUCAUCAUGCCCCUUAUGACCUGGGCUACACACGUGCUACAAUGGGAAGUACAACGAGUUGCGAAGUCGCGAGGCUAAGCUAAUCUCUUAAAGCUUCUCUCAGUUCGGAUUGCAGGCUGCAACUCGCC
RNAcentral lists this ribosomal RNA (1133 nucleotides) under Enterococcus faecium. RNAcentral describes it as "bacterial SSU rRNA". It matches the Rfam family "Bacterial small subunit ribosomal RNA", at positions 195 to 1316 of the family's 1533-position model. Lineage: Bacteria; Bacillati; Bacillota; Bacilli; Lactobacillales; Enterococcaceae. The record is from RNAcentral.